CGCGUAGGCGGCCGUUUGCGUCGGAUGUGAAAGCCCGGGGCUCAACCUCGGAACGGCAUUCGAUACGGGACGGCUGGAGACCGGGAGAGGAGAGUGGAAUAGCCAGUGUAGAGGUGAAAUUCGUAGAUAUUGGCUGGAACACCGGUGGCGAAAGCGGCUCUCUGGCCCGGUUCUGACGCUGAGGCGCGAAAGCGUGGGGAGCAAACA
This 207-nucleotide ribosomal RNA is filed under the name uncultured bacterium. RNAcentral's name for it is "partial 16S ribosomal RNA". It matches the Rfam family "Bacterial small subunit ribosomal RNA", at positions 568 to 774 of the family's 1533-position model. The record is from RNAcentral.